RNAcentral lists this ribosomal RNA (564 nucleotides) under uncultured bacterium. RNAcentral describes it as "bacterial SSU rRNA". It matches the Rfam family "Bacterial small subunit ribosomal RNA", at positions 338 to 916 of the family's 1533-position model. The record is from RNAcentral.
CCUACGGGAGGCAGCAGUGGGGGAUAUUGCACAAUGGAGGAAACUCUGAUGCAGCGGCGCCGCGUGAGGGAAGAAGGUCUUCGGAUUGUAAACCUCUGUCUUUGGGGACGAAGAAAGUGACGGUACCCAAAGAGGAAGCCACGGCUAACUACGUGCCAGCAGCCGCGGUAAUACGUAGGUGGCGAGCGUUGUCCGGAAUUACUGGGUGUAAAGGGUGCGUAGGCGGACUGGCAAGUUGGAUGUGAAAUCUCCGCGCUUAACGUGGAGGUUGCAUUCAAAACUGUUGGUCUUGAGUGAGGCAGAGGCAGGCGGAAUUCCCGGUGUAGCGGUGAAAUGCGUAGAAAUCGGGAGGAACACCAGUGGCGAAGGCGGCCUGCUGGGCCUUAACUGACGCUGAGGCACGAAAGCAUGGGUAGCAAACAGGAUUAGAUACCCUGGUAGUCCAUGCUGUAAACGAUGAUUGCUAGGUGUGGGUGGACUGACCCCAUCCGUGCCGGAGCUAACGCAAUAAGCAAUCCACCUGGGGAGUACGGCCGCAAGGUUGAAACUCAAAGGAAUUGACGG